RNAcentral lists this ribosomal RNA (579 nucleotides) under uncultured bacterium. Its description in RNAcentral is "partial 16S ribosomal RNA". It matches the Rfam family "Bacterial small subunit ribosomal RNA", at positions 355 to 932 of the family's 1533-position model. The record is from RNAcentral.
UGGGGAAUUUUGGACAAUGGGCGAAAGCCUGAUCCAGCCAUGCCGCGUGCAGGAUGAAGGCCUUCGGGUUGUAAACUGCUUUUGUACGGAACGAAAAGCCUCUUUCUAAUAAAGAGAGGUCAUGACGGUACCGUAAGAAUAAGCACCGGCUAACUACGUGCCAGCAGCCGCGGUAAUACGUAGGGUGCAAGCGUUAAUCGGAAUUACUGGGCGUAAAGCGUGCGCAGGCGGUUUUGUAAGACAGAGGUGAAAUCCCCGGGCUCAACCUGGGAACUGCCUUUGUGACUGCAAGGCUGGAGUGCGGCAGAGGGGGAUGGAAUUCCGCGUGUAGCAGUGAAAUGCGUAGAUAUGCGGAGGAACACCGAUGGCGAAGGCAAUCUCCUGGGCCUGCACUGACGCUCAUGCACGAAAGCGUGGGGAGCAAACAGGAUUAGAUACCCUGGUAGUCCACGCCCUAAACGAUGUCAACUGGUUGUUGGGUCUUCACUGACUCAGUAACGAAGCUAACGCGUGAAGUUGACCGCCUGGGGAGUACGGCCGCAAGGUUGAAACUCAAAUGAAUUGACGGGGUCAUAGCUG